UCCGGCUUGACGCCGGCAGUCCCCCGAGAGUCCUCAGCAUGACCUGUUAGUAACACGGGGCAAGGGUUGCGCUCGUUGCGGGACUUAACCCAACAUCUCACGACACGAGCUGACGACAACCAUGCACCACCUGUGAACCGGCCCCAAAGGGGAAACCACAUUUCUGCGGCGGUCCGGUCCAUGUCAAGCCUUGGUAAGGUUCUUCGCGUUGCAUCGAAUUAAACCACACGCUCCGCUGCUUGUGCGGGCCCCCGUCAAUUCCUUCGAGUUUUAGCCUUGCGGCCGUAGUCCCCAGGCGGCGGACUUAGCGCGUUAGCGACGGCACCGGGAGGGUCGCUCCCCCCGACGCCUAGUGCCCAUCGUUUACAGCGUGGACUAC
RNAcentral lists this unclassified non-coding RNA (379 nucleotides) under uncultured bacterium. Its description in RNAcentral is "contains 16S-23S intergenic spacer region". The record is from RNAcentral.